GCUGAGCUCAGUAACGCGAGCUUGCAACUCUUGUGAGAGCUUUAAAGUGUGGAACGUUGCUUCAAACUAUUAGGCCGGGCCUACGUUGGCUAUUUACUGGGCUGCCCAUGCCAAGCCAAGAGUUGAGCCUUGUGAUCCUAGCGAAGGCUUGGGUCACUCUACUCCUGCAGAGGAGGGCACUGCGUGAGACUGGUAUAACAGAGCAGCGACUACCUCCCGCUCUUGACAGUGGAUGGAUAACGGGCUGGUGCCAAUUGGGCCCAUCGUGGCUCCAUGGGUUGAUCUCAAUUGAACCAUCACUUUU
Molecule: signal recognition particle RNA, 304 nt
Filed under: Jatropha curcas
Lineage: Eukaryota; Viridiplantae; Streptophyta; Magnoliopsida; Malpighiales; Euphorbiaceae
Description: Plant signal recognition particle RNA
Rfam family: Plant signal recognition particle RNA
Source: Rfam by way of RNAcentral